ACGGGAGGCAGCAGUGGGGAAUAUUGCACAAUGGGCGAAAGCCUGAUGCAGCGACGCCGCGUGAGUGAUGAAGUACUUCGGUAUGUAAAGCUCUAUCAGCAGGGAAGAUAAUGACGGUACCUGACUAAGAAGCACCGGCUAAAUACGUGCCAGCAGCCGCGGUAAUACGUAUGGUGCAAGCGUUAUCCGGAUUUACUGGGUGUAAAGGGAGCGCAGGCGGUACGGCGAGUCUGAUGUGAAAGCCCGGGGCUCAACCCCGGUACUGCAUUGGAAACUGUCGAACUAGAGUGUCGGAGGGGUAAGUGGAAUUCCUAGUGUAGCGGUGAAAUGCGUAGGUAUUAGGAGGAACACCAGUGGCGAAGGCGGCUUACUGGACGAUAACUGACGCUGAGGCUCGAAAGCGUGGGGAGCAAACAGGAUUAGAUACCCUGGUA
Molecule: ribosomal RNA, 434 nt
Filed under: uncultured Roseburia sp.
Lineage: Bacteria; Bacillati; Bacillota; Clostridia; Lachnospirales; Lachnospiraceae
Description: partial 16S ribosomal RNA
Rfam family: Bacterial small subunit ribosomal RNA
Source: RNAcentral